AUGUCCUAUGGUCAGAAGCUCUGUUGUACACGUCCUGGCAUCUCUGUCUCAUGGUCUGACAGCUUCUGGAAUGAUGUCACCGUACUGCACCUCUUUCAAAAAAGAAAUGAACAUAUCUUCAUCCCAAUCUCCACGAGACAGUCACAUAAAGAAGUAUUUGUAAGUGUGUCUGACUGCAGUGAAGAUACGGUGGACAGUAAUAAGGACCGUCCACAGCAUGGCUGCACAAAACAAGCAAACAACCAGCCAACCACAAUGAAGACAAUGAACAGCAAACAGAUUCCUUUUAUGCUUUCAUGGAGCUUGGUGAUCUAUUUUGUCAGUUGGGCUCCUGGAGAUACCCACGCUCUCAGAGUUUUACCUUCUAAUCCAAAAGGCAUAUCUACGUAUUAUAUUCAGCAAAGACAUUUUCCAACCUGAAAGAAAUUGUGUUGCCAUCUGUUAAUAUACAUAUAUAUAGUUAGUUAGUUAGUCUGGAUGUAUUACAAAUGAUGCAUGCUCUGACAGAAAAGUAGGAGGUUGGGAGGAACAACAGAGUAUAUAGUAUUAUUAGAACAGGGGACCAGAUUUAAUGAGAAAGCCAGGCAGUCUGGCUUCUCUGAGAAAGUAUGACAUUUCUGAAGACUGUUAGCCAGGUAAAAAGUGUGGGGGGAAGAGCAUUCCCAGCAGAACAGCAUGUGCAAAGGUCUGGAGAUGUGAAGGACUGUGGAGCACUGGAAAAACUGGGAAGUGGCAGCAUGGCCAGAUCCCAAAGGGCCAAAGAGAAAGAUGGGGAUGAGGGUGGAGAGGCCAGCGGGGGCCAGAUCAAGUGAAACUUUGUGGGCCACAUGACUCUCAUUUUUAGGUUCCUUUGUCUUCCCUAACAAAUGAAAUAACAACAUGAAUGAGUUUUUCUAAACGUUGAGUUUAUUGGUUUUUGAAACAGUCAUGCCAAAGCUGACAAGCUUGUACAGACACACAUCCACACAUACACCCAACUGUGCACGCGCGCACACACACGCACACACACACACACACGGUACAUAAAGCACCUUUCCCCAGGGCCAUGCUACUUGACAUUAUUAAGCAGUCUAUCCGAGGCCAGGUACCGUGGCUCACACUUGUAAUCCCAGCACUUUGGGAGGCUGAGGCAGGAAGAUCACGAGGUCAGGAGAUUGAGACCAGCCUGGCCAACAUGGUGAAACCCCGUCUCUACUAAAAAUACAAAAAUUAGCUGGGUGUGGUGGCACGUGCCUGUAUUCCCAGCUACUUGAGAGACUGAGGCAGAAGAAUUGAUUGAACCUGGGAGGCAGAAGUUGCAGUGAGCCAAGAUGAGAUGGCGCCACUCCACUCCAGCCUGGGUAACAGAGUGAGUCUGUUUGCUUCAAAAAAAAAAAGGUCUAUCCUAUAGCCAUACACAUGAUUCUGGGUCAGCCAGAUAAUUAAGCUGAAAAUUAUCUUCAUAUUCAUUUUCCCUCCACAGGAAUGUUUCCUGAGGAGAAACCCAAAAUAUGAGGGU
RNAcentral lists this long non-coding RNA (1498 nucleotides) under Callithrix jacchus (white-tufted-ear marmoset). RNAcentral describes it as "lncRNA (ENSCJAG00000074261.1)". The record is from RNAcentral. Lineage: Eukaryota; Metazoa; Chordata; Mammalia; Primates; Cebidae.